Molecule: ribosomal RNA, 448 nt
Filed under: uncultured bacterium
Lineage: Bacteria
Description: SSU rRNA
Rfam family: Bacterial small subunit ribosomal RNA
Source: RNAcentral
AGAACGAACGCUGGCGGCAUGCCUAACACAUGCAAGUCGAACGCGUGACUUCGGUCACGAGUGGCGCACGGGUGAGUAGCGCGUGGGAACCUGCCUUUGGGUUCGGGAUAACCGCGAGAAACUGCGGCUAAUACCGGAUGUCCCCUACGGGGGAAAGAUUUAUCGCCCGAAGAGGGGCCCGCGUCCGAUUAGGUAGUUGGUGAGGUAACGGCUCACCAAGCCUUCGAUCGGUAGCUGGUCUGAGAGGAUGAUCAGCCACACUGGGACUGAGACACGGCCCAGACUCCUACGGGAGGCAGCAGUGGGGAAUAUUGGACAAUGGGGGCAACCCUGAUCCAGCAAUGCCGCGUGAGUGAUGAAGGUCUUCGGGUUGUAAAGCUCUUUCGCCCACGACGAUGGUGACGGUAGUGGGAGAAGAAGCCCCGGCUAACUUCGUGCCAGCAGCCGC